RNAcentral lists this ribosomal RNA (465 nucleotides) under uncultured bacterium. RNAcentral describes it as "partial 16S ribosomal RNA". It matches the Rfam family "Bacterial small subunit ribosomal RNA", at positions 28 to 507 of the family's 1533-position model. The record is from RNAcentral.
GACGAACGCUGGCGGCGUGCUUAACACAUGCAAGUCGAACGGAAAGGCCCUGCUUGCCGGGUACUCGAGUGGCGAACGGGUGAGUAACACGUGGGUGAUCUGCCCUGCACUUCGGGAUAAGCCUGGGAAACUGGGUCUAAUACCGGAUAGGAGCCAUUUUUAGUGUGAUGGUUGGAAAGUUUUUUCGGUGUAGGAUGAGCUCGCGGCCUAUCAGCUUGUUGGUGGGGUAAUGGCCUACCAAGGCGGCGACGGGUAGCCGGCCUGAGAGGGUGGACGGCCACAGUGGGACUGAGAUACGGCCCAGACUCCGACGGGAGGCAGCAGUGGGGAAUAUUGCACAAUGGGCGCAAGCCUGAUGCAGCGACGCCGCGGGGGGGAGGACGGCCUUCGGGUUGGAAACUCCUUUCGCUAGGGACGAAGCUUUUUGUGACGGUACCUAGAGAAGAAGCACCGGCUAACUACGUG